UACGUAGGGUGCAAGCGUUAAUCGGAAUUACUGGGCGUAAAGCGUGCGCAGGCGGUUAUGCAAGACAGAGGUGAAAUCCCCGGGCUCAACCUGGGAACUGCCUUUGUGACUGCAUAGCUAGAGUACGGUAGAGGGGGAUGGAAUUCCGCGUGUAGCAGUGAAAUGCGUAGAUAUGCGGAGGAACACCGAUGGCGAAGGCAAUCCCCUGGACCUGUACUGACGCUGAUGCACGAAAGCGUGGGGAGCAACAGG
Molecule: ribosomal RNA, 252 nt
Filed under: uncultured bacterium
Lineage: Bacteria
Description: partial 16S ribosomal RNA
Rfam family: Bacterial small subunit ribosomal RNA
Source: RNAcentral